This 442-nucleotide ribosomal RNA is filed under the name uncultured bacterium. Its description in RNAcentral is "partial 16S ribosomal RNA". It matches the Rfam family "Bacterial small subunit ribosomal RNA", at positions 338 to 795 of the family's 1533-position model. The record is from RNAcentral.
CCUACGGGGGGCAGCAGUGGGGAAUAUUGGGCAAUGGGCGCAAGCCUGACCCAGCAACGCCGCGUGAAGGAAGAAGGCUUUCGGGUUGUAAACUUCUUUUGACAGGGAAGAGCAGAAGACGGUACCUGUCGAAUAAGCCACGGCUAACUACGUGCCAGCAGCCGCGGUAAUACGUAGGUGGCAAGCGUUGUCCGGAUUUACUGGGUGUAAAGGGCGUGUAGCCGGGCUGACAAGUCAGAUGUGAAAUCCUGGGGCUCAACCCCCGAACUGCAUUUGAAACUGUUGGUCUUGAGUAUAGGAGAGGCAGGCGGAAUGCCUAGGGUAGCGGUGAAAUGCGUAGAUAUUAGGAGGAACACCAGUGGCGAAGGCGGUCUGCUGGACGACAACUGACGGUGAGGCGCGAAAGCGUGGGGAGCAAACAGGAUUAGAUACCCUAGUAGUC